UCUGCUUAGUUUAUCGUGUACUAAUGAUCGAUCUGUUGUUUUUCUAUUUUUAAAGGCCAUCUCCCUGGAGCCUCAUUUACUGGAUGCCUACUGGCACAGACACUGCAUCUACCUGCUGAGAAAUGACCCUGAUAGAGCUCUGGACGAUCUAAACGUCAUCGUCAAGAACAACAAGAAGCAUGCAGACUUUCACCAUCAACUCAAGGAUCGAUGUAAUACAGCACUUCAACAGCUCCAAAUGGAUGCAGACGCUGGAAGACUUCCCCUUACUGCUAAAACAAGAACCUGGGAAUGCUGCAGCCAGGCAGGACAUACAAAGGAAGGAUCUUUUCCAAGGUGGUUAGUUUGAGAUGUCUAUUGAGGACUUUUCUCUGGCUGUGCACUUGGAUCUCCCAGUAGCUGGUGGCGUUUUACCACAGAGGGUGUCUGCUGAGGGAGAUAAUGCCUCAUAUGGCCUUAAGGGGUCUCAGGACAUCUGGUAACACGCACGUUUGAUAUAAGACAUGAAAACGUGUAAUUUUCAAAUUUCUGAAUAUAAAGAUACAGUAGCCUACUUUGCUAACAUUUUGAGGGGCCUGAGGAAGACUGAUGCCCAUGGGAGUUUUUAAGUAAUAUGUUGAGGUCUGACACUUUCUGUUGGAAAGCAGGAUGAUUAGACAGAUGGUCCAGUCACGGUUGUUCAACAAUCAAUUCAAAAGUUACACAUGAGCAGGGGCGUGUCUAGGGGGAGGCUGGGGGAGGCAGUGCCUCCCCUAGGAUAAGCCCUGCCUCCCCGAGAAACGGACUGUCCCUCUGAUGAUAAAUAAACAUUUAAAAGUUGAUUGUUUUGUGCAUUUUUUUCCAUCAGUAGCAGAUAAGUCUGACCCAUAGAAAAUCCUGUUUGGCGCUGUUUGACAGUGCGCGCGCGCUUCAGGCUUAUGGGCUCAGAAAAAGUGCAUCAUGUGAGAAUAGAACGCCAAUGAAAUGUUUACCUGGCAGAUCCUUAGAGCA
Long non-coding RNA from Carassius auratus (goldfish), 990 nucleotides. RefSeq lists it as uncharacterized. The transcript has 3 exons. Lineage: Eukaryota; Metazoa; Chordata; Actinopteri; Cypriniformes; Cyprinidae. The record is from RefSeq and is a predicted model, not a curated record.